RNAcentral lists this long non-coding RNA (1339 nucleotides) under Homo sapiens (human). RNAcentral describes it as "HSALNT0366020". The record is from RNAcentral. Lineage: Eukaryota; Metazoa; Chordata; Mammalia; Primates; Hominidae.
UGGGAAGGGCCUUCACACAGAGGCCCGCCCCCAUCUCGCCCCUCCUCGCGGUGCUCCCGACCGCGCAGAGGUCUCUGGGAAAUGUAGUUUUCUUCUGCCUGGAGCUCUGCGCGGGGCGACGCAGCUGGGCUGCAACCCGCUCCUCCAGGGACGGGUAGUGUGACGUUUGGGGUCAGAACGCACCACUUUCGGGCACCCCCACUUAAGAUUGCUCAACUGCUUUGAGCUCAGGUACUUCGCGUUCAUGAAAGCAAGGUGUAAAGGUGGGGGAAAAGCACUUUCGUCUCAGAAUUACAGCUACUGGUAUGGAAAAGCUGGGGCCCUUCGCUGGUGUGAGUCCUAAGGAUGUCUAAAUGGAACGUGCAUCUGCUACAGGCUCGCACUUUCCUUUAUUGCGCUUCCCAGACUUCCUGCUGUUGUAAGCAACCACUACAGAUUUCUCAGAAGUACUGUGGCAAAUAAAAAUGAUUGAGAAUCAUUAUACAUUUUCUAUUCUACUAGAGAGACAGUUUAAAAUAAAAUAGAAUGCUAAGACCACCAUGCAGUGGAAAAGCUCCAUCUACCAGAAGAUGAGAAGCCAUGUGGAGAACUAAGACUUCCCAGCCAAUAGCCAGCACCAACUGCCAGACACGUAAGUGAGGCCAUCUUGAACCCUCCAACCCUAGAUGUAUUCACGGUUCUCCAGAGAAACAGAACCAAUAAGAUGUGUGUGUGUGUGUGUGUGUGUGUUUAUAAAGAUAUUUAUUUUAAGGACUUGACUCACUUGAUUAUAGAGCUUCCAAGUCCAAAAUCUGCAGGGUGGGUUGGCAGGCUGGAGGCCAGGGAAAAGGUGAUGCUACAGUUCAAGUCUGAGAGCCAUCUACUGGCAAAAUUCCUUCUUGCUCAUGGAAGGUCAGUCUUUUGUUCUAUUCAGGCCUUCAGUUGAUUGGAUAAGGCCUACUCACAUUAUGGAGGGCAAUCUGCGUUAUUCAAAGUCCCCUGAUUUGUUACUCAGAGGUGAGAAAAAUCAUGGUGUACUAAAGUCACCACAAAAACUUCUGUAGAUCAUAUGGAGAAGCAGGAGAGAUGAAGCUGGAGAGCAAAGCAGCAAAUCAGCAAUUAAAAAAGAUGUUUGGAGUUGUUGAGUUUGGAGAUGAAAAGUGACAAGAUGAAUUCUGGAUUUUAGACAAAGCAAUCCAACGUGUGGAUGGAGAGGGAUUUGAGAGGAGAAAUCAGCUGUUGUCAGUAAGAGUAUUUAAAUUAGGAUACUGGUAACGGGGAUGGAGAGACACACGAUUAUACAUGGGAAGUGAGAGCAGAAAGAAUUAGGAUUAUUUCUUGAUUUUUUUUUUUUUUUUUU